UGGGGAAUAUUGGACAAUGGGCGAAAGCCUGAUCCAGCAAUGCCGCGUGAGUGAUGAAGGCCUUAGGGUUGUAAAGCUCUUUUACCAGGGAUGAUAAUGACAGUACCUGGAGAAUAAGCUCCGGCUAACUCCGUGCCAGCAGCCGCGGUAAUACGGAGGGAGCUAGCGUUGUUCGGAAUUACUGGGCGUAAAGCGUACGUAGGCGGUGACUCAAGUCAGAGGUGAAAGCCUGGAGCUCAACUCCAGAACUGCCUUUGAAACUAGGUCGCUAGAAUCACGGAGAGGUGAGUGGAAUUCCGAGUGUAGAGGUGAAAUUCGUAGAUAUUCGGAAGAACACCAGUGGCGAAGGCGGCUCACUGGACGUGUAUUGACGCUGAGGUACGAAAGCGUGGGGAGCAAACAGGAUUAGAUACCCUAGUAGUCCCUGAGCGGGCUGGCAAGGCGCAU
RNAcentral lists this ribosomal RNA (447 nucleotides) under uncultured bacterium. RNAcentral's name for it is "bacterial SSU rRNA". It matches the Rfam family "Bacterial small subunit ribosomal RNA", at positions 355 to 825 of the family's 1533-position model. The record is from RNAcentral.